Molecule: non-coding RNA, 120 nt
Filed under: bovine gut metagenome
Description: yjdF RNA
Rfam family: azaaromatic riboswitch aptamer (yjdF RNA)
Source: RNAcentral
ACAGGAAUAAAAACGCAACGAGCAUUUUGUAAUGCUCCAGAGCCGGUAGGUAGCCCGGCCGUCUCAUCCGCAGGAUGAGGGAAGUAACCUGCCCCUCCGGGUUGUCCGUUUCUUGUCCAU